RNAcentral lists this transfer RNA (71 nucleotides) under Chrotopterus auritus. Its description in RNAcentral is "tRNA-Glu". The record is from RNAcentral. Lineage: Eukaryota; Metazoa; Chordata; Mammalia; Chiroptera; Phyllostomidae.
UAUUGUUCUUAUAGUUGAAGUACAACAGUGACUUUUCAUGUCACUAGUCAUGGGUUGGCCAUGUAAGAACA